GCAGGGGUGGCUGAGGCGGUCAAAGGCGCCGGGCUUAAGAUCCGGUCCUUAUGGGUUCGUGGGUUCGAAUCCCACCCCCUGCA
This 83-nucleotide transfer RNA is filed under the name archaeon. Its description in RNAcentral is "tRNA-Leu". It matches the Rfam family "tRNA". Rfam says of the family: Transfer RNA (tRNA) molecules are approximately 80 nucleotides in length. Their secondary structure includes four short double-helical elements and three loops (D, anti-codon, and T loops). Further hydrogen bonds mediate the characteristic L-shaped molecular structure. tRNAs have two regions of fundamental functional importance: the anti-codon, which is responsible for specific mRNA codon recognition, and the 3' end, to which the tRNAs corresponding amino acid is attached (by aminoacyl-tRNA synthetases). tRNAs cope with the degeneracy of the genetic code in two manners: having more than one tRNA (with a specific anti-codon) for a particular amino acid; and 'wobble' base-pairing, i.e. permitting non-standard base-pairing at the 3rd anti-codon position. The record is from RNAcentral. RNAcentral also lists the same sequence under 3 other names.